RNAcentral lists this ribosomal RNA (253 nucleotides) under uncultured bacterium. RNAcentral describes it as "partial 16S ribosomal RNA". It matches the Rfam family "Bacterial small subunit ribosomal RNA", at positions 524 to 776 of the family's 1533-position model. The record is from RNAcentral.
UACAGAGGUCCCAAGCGUUGUUCGGAAUCACUGGGCGUAAAGGGUGCGUAGGCGGGUCUUUAAGUCAGGGGUGAAAUCCUGGAGCUCAACUCCAGAACUGCCUUUGAUACUGAAGAUCUUGAGUUCGGGAGAGGUGAGUGGAACUGCGAGUGUAGAGGUGAAAUUCGUAGAUAUUCGCAAGAACACCAGUGGCGAAGGCGGCUCACUGGCCCGAUACUGACGCUGAGGUGCGAAAGCGUGGGGAGCAAACAGG